Molecule: ribosomal RNA, 446 nt
Filed under: uncultured bacterium
Lineage: Bacteria
Description: partial 16S ribosomal RNA
Rfam family: Bacterial small subunit ribosomal RNA
Source: RNAcentral
CCUACGGGUGGCAGCAGUCGAGAAUCAUUCACAAUGGGGGAAACCCUGAUGGUGCGACGCCGCGUGGGGGAAUGAAGUUCUUCGGAUUGUAAACCCCUGUCAUGUGGGAGCAAAUUAAAAAGAUAGUACCACAAGAGGAAGAGACGGCUAACUCUGUGCCAGCAGCGGCGGGAAUACAGAGGUCUCAAUCGUUGUUCGGAAUCACUUGGCGUAAAGCGUUCGUAGGCUGUUUCGUAAGUCGUGUGUGAAAGGCGCGGGCUCAACCCGCGGACGGCACAUGAUACUGCGAGACUAGAGUAAUGGAGGAGGAAGCGGAAUGCUCGGUGUAGCAGUGAAAUGCAUAGAUAUCGAGAGGAACACUCGUGGCGAAGGCGGGUUCCUGGACAUUAACUGACGCUGAGGCACGAAGGCCAGGGGAGCGAAAGGGAUUAGAUACCCGGGUAGUC